UUUAACUGAGCGUUCAGUUACUUGACGUAGACCCGAAACCGGGCGACCUACCCAUGAGCAGGAUGAAGCGAAAGUAAAAUUUCGUGGAGGUCCGAACCCACGAGCGUUGAAAAGCUCGGGGAUGACUUGUGGGUAGCGGUGAAAUUCCAAUCGAGCCCGGAGAUAGCUGGUUCUCCCCGAAAUAGCUUUAGGGCUAGCCUCAAGGUGAGAGAUACGGAGGUAGAGCACUGAAUGUCCUAGGGGGUAUUGCACCUACCGAAGACUAUCAAACUCCGAAUGCCGUCAUCUUAUACUUGGGAGUCAGACUGUGGGUGAUAAGAUUCAUAGUCGAAAGGGCAACAGCCCAGAUCGUCAGCUAAGGUCCCUAAAUGUAAGUUAAGUGGUAAAGGAUGUGGGAUUGCACAGACAACCAGGAUGUUGGCUUAGAAGCAGCCACUCAUUCAAAGAGUGCGUAAUAGCUCACUGGUCGAGUGAUCCUGCGCCGAAGAUUUCCGGGGCUAAAACUUACUACCGAAGCUACGGCAUCAGUAAUGAUGGGUAGGGGAGCUUCCCAUACGGGUUGAAGCAUGACCGUAAGGACAUGUGGACAGUAUGGGAGUGAGAAUGUUGGCAUGAGUAGCGAGAUGUGGGUGAGAAUCCCACAGGCCGUAAACCCAAGGUUUCCAGGGGAAGGUUCGUCCGCCCUGGGUUAGUCGGGACCUAAGCUGAGGCCGAAAGGCGUAGGUGAUGGACAACAGGUUGAUAUUCCUGUACUACCGAUAACCGUUUGAGAGAAGGGAUGACACAGUAGGAUAAGCUAAGCACACUGUUGGUUAUGUGUGCCCAAGCAUUGAGGCAGUCAAAGUAGGCAAAUCCGCUUUGAUAAUGCUGGGGUGUGAUGGGGAGCGAAAUUUAGUAGCGAAGUAGCUGAUUUCACACUGUCAAGAAAAGUCUCUAUCGAGGUUAAAGGUACCCGUACCGCAAACCGACACAGGUGGGUGAGGAGAGUAUCCUAAGGCCAGCGAGAGAACUGUUGUUAAGGAACUCGGCAAAAUGACCCCGUAACUUAGGGAUAAGGGGUGCCACCAUCAGGUGGCCGCAGAGAAUAGGCCCAAGCGACUGUUUACCAAAAACAUAGGUUUCUGCUAAGUCGCAAGACGAUGUAUAGGAGCUGACGCCUGCCCGGUGCUGGAAGGUUAAGGGGAUCUGUUAGAG
RNAcentral lists this ribosomal RNA (1194 nucleotides) under Clostridioides difficile. RNAcentral's name for it is "partial 23S ribosomal RNA". It matches the Rfam family "Bacterial large subunit ribosomal RNA", at positions 683 to 1895 of the family's 2925-position model. Lineage: Bacteria; Bacillati; Bacillota; Clostridia; Peptostreptococcales; Peptostreptococcaceae. The record is from RNAcentral.